UAUACACUGAGAUGAUGUACGCUUAAAAUGUUUAACGGUACGAUGCAAGGAAAGUUCAGCUGCACCAUUGCUAAUCCCAGGAGUUGUCACAACUGUAAGGUACUUAUGAGAACAUAGUGCACUAAAAGAAUAAUGUUCAAUAACAAAAUUUCAGUGAUGCCAAUUACUCUCUAUAACUAUCUGUGACUGACUUUUUCCAAAUUAUCUGGUGCUUAAAUACUGAUUUCUUCUUUGUGAAUUUUAUAUGGACAGUGUGCCCCGGUUAACUUAGAAAGGUUACAGAGGCUACAGAAAAUAUGAAUAUCUUCUAACCAUGAACUUCUGGACUUUUCUAUGACAUUUGUUUAUUUUAUUAUUAUUUUUCAAUUACUUCACUAAUAAUAUUUUAUGACUAAUUCCUUAAUUUUAAUGGACCGCCAAAAUACAAUUUUUUUUUUCUUGUGGAACUACGCUGAACUUCUAUGGAUCCAUCCCAGCUGUGAAAUGCUGCUUUAGAUCAUGUGUAUAUGUUAUUCAUUAAAGCAGCCAACACAAAAAAAGCAAA
Stegodyphus dumicola is the source of this 544-nucleotide long non-coding RNA. The record is from RefSeq and is a predicted model, not a curated record. NCBI's taxonomy places the organism in Eukaryota, Metazoa, Arthropoda, Arachnida, Araneae, Eresidae.